AUUUAACUCAUAAGACUGAUUAUUUACAAUCUUAAAAGGUAACAAUUUCGAAACGAGGUUAUAAAAUAGCAGAGCUUGGUGUGAUGAUUUACAAUUUUAAACGAUAACAAUUUCGAAAUGCUCGAGGUCAUAAAAUAGAAGAGCUCUUAGAUACUUCAGUGUAAUAAUAUGCUAGAAGAAACAUGGACGAUAUAACGGAGCAGGAUAUCUUUAAGGCUUUCAAGAAAACUCAAGAAGAGUUUCGUUUUCCAGGAGGUAAACUAGAACUUCUAACUGAAGAACGUUUUCCAGAAAUAUUUGAUGUCAUUAAAAAGUGUUUCCUGACCGACGAACCGCUUGAAAAGUCAUUAAAACUGGAAUGGAGUUCGGAAGUGGAAGAGAUGUGGAUGUCUGCACUUACGUCCAAACUUUCCUUAAUGAUAGUUGAUGAGAAUACCAAGAAGAUCAUAGGCAUGCGAGCGAUACGUGUCACCAAGAAAUCAGAUCAUACGGACGUUAGUCUAAUAAAAGAUGAGUCAGUUAAGAAGUUGUUGGAAUUUUUCGAAUUCACUUCAGAACAUUCGAAUGUAUUUGAAAAAUAUGGCAUUACCGAAUACUUUGAAUUUUUCGGCCUUGCUGUUUUACCAGAGUAUAGACAACGAGGAAUAGGGACUGUUCUGAUGCAAGCCGGAGUAAAUUUCCUAGGUCAUCUUAAAAGACCUUCAUACCUCAAAGGAACGUGUUCGUCCAACUUCUCUAAGAAAAUAUACGAUAAGUUUGAUUUUGAGGCAGUAGGAGAUUAUGCAUUUGAAGAUUAUAAAGUUGAUGGCAAAGUUGUUUUUGAUAACACUGGUGAACAUAAGUCCAUGAAAUUGUAUGUUAUGUUUCUACAAUAGAAAUCAAAUGUCAUCAAUUUUACGCCAUGUCUUUGAUGUUACGUCAUAUUUUGAUUUUGUUAUACACAUGUAUAAAACAAAAUGUAAAAUAAAAGAGUUUGUGUUUCUAAAUGAUCUGUGUCGUCUGCAUUAUAGUAAUGUCAUGGUUGUAUAGUUAUGGGUGAAAUAGUUUGCCUUAAUUUACUUUUCAUCAUUGUAUCUAAUUACGUCCUACAAAAUAGUGUUGAUCUACCUGUAAAUAACUUAAAUGGGUCAUAGUAUCUUGAGGUAAUCAGGCCGAAUUCUGUUAAAUAUGUUUACACGAUCAUGUAUAACUUGAAACACGACAUACAUGUACAUGUAAAUAGUUAUCAUUGUUCCUUAACUUUAUCUUAUUUUAUCCAAUUAUAUGUUCAUAUUUGUUAUUAUUUUAUUCCCAAAGAGGAUGGUAUUAUGUCUUGCCCAUGGGGUUCUGCUGUUCGUCCGUAUGAUGAGAGCACAUUGAGUUGUGUUUAGGUAUUCAUUCUGUAAUCAAUAUUGUCUAUCUGAAUACCCUUAAUGGAAUUUUUCAUAAAAUAAAUAAGGCCUUUGAUACAGUCUGGCAUGAAGGAAUGUUAUAUAAACUUUUAACAGAAACCUGUAUUGAUUCAACUACAUUUUUAGCGCUCAAAUCUAUGUAUACCAACAUGCUGAGUUGUGUAAAAUAUCAGGGUAAAUUCUCAGAAUGGUUCAGAGUACUACAAGGCACAAGACAAGGGGGUAAAACCUCCCCGAUGUUGUAUCUUCUAUACAUAAAUGGGCUUAUAGAUGAGCUAGAGAAAAGUGUAUUUGGUAUCUGUGUUUGUAAUGUUAGAGUUAGCUCCCCUACCGUAGCAAACGAUAUGCUCUUAGUGUCUUAUUCUGUAAAUGGACUAAAUGGUAUGCUUGAUAUAUGUAGUGAAUACUCAAAGCGGUGGCGCUAAAGUUAUAAUGCAGAAAAAUGCGCUGUAUUGGUUUUUAAUGAACGUACAAAUAAUGGUCGUGACAGAGACUUCUAUCUUGGUAAUACAAAAAUCUGUGAAACAUCGAACUAUGUACAUCUUGGUAUCAACUGUGAUCCGUUUCUGACAACAAGAUAAAUGGUUGAGGACGCAUGUACUAAACUUAGAGGUACCUACCUCAGUAUAAUUAAUAGUAGAAUCAGUCCACAGUGUUUAAAUAGAAAAUAUACGAUGCAACAAUUAUCCCAAAAGCGCUAUACGGUAGCGAGUUGUGGUCUUCUAUCACUUCUACUGAUAUUAUGCAACUCGAAAGGUCUCAUAGAUUUUGUAUUAAAAACAUGCAGUCAUUUCCAAAUGGUACAUCAACUGAAUUUGCAUUGAGUGCAUUAGACGCCGUUCCUAUUGACAUUAUCGUUGAACAUAGAAAAUUGCAAUUCCUUGGACAAUGUAGACUUUCUGAUGUAUAUCUUGCUAAACAUAUUUUCAACAGUCGCCUUGUUUGUUACCUUAAUUAUGAUAAGCAGUCUUCUGGUUUUAUUCCUACUAUAUGUGCAAUUCUACAAAAGUACGGAUUAUAUGAUGUUAUUAAUACAUACAUAAGGGAAGGUACAUUUCCGUCCAAAAUAGCUUGGAAGUGGAUUCUUAAUCAACAAGUUUUAAGCCAAGGAAGGGUCAAUGUGAGUUUGAAUGCAAUGCCCUUGAUGUCGUUAUUACAACAGGGGGCGCAACCUUGUAUUAUAUGGACUCUAUCGAAAAGAAAACCACGAUUAUCGCGCCUAUGUUUCAAACUGAUGAAUAUUUUAGCGCGGUACUUGUCCAGAAAAUACAUUUGUAGAUGCUUUAAGUGUGAUCGGUUGACUGAAGACAUUGUACAACAUUUGAUUUGUUAUUGUGAGGUUAAUUCACAUAUACGUGAACGUUUGUGGAAUUUGAUGAUAGAAAUUAAUGGUCACUGUGAUUACAUGUCAUUCGUUUUGUUAACACCGUCUGAACAGUGUGAUUAUUUGCUAAGGUUAGCUGUUACAAUUGAUGGGGACAUGUUUAAACAUAUACAUUAUACUAUAUGUGUUUGCAAAAUGUUCGAUUAGUGUGAUAUAGAACAAACUCACUUUAUAUCAGAUACUUUGAAAUAUUCAAAUUACAUAUGUAAUGUAGCUAUGUAUUUUCGUCAUGGUUUCUAUUUAUAGCUUUAUAACUUAAUUAUACUUAAAUAUGCGUGAACAAAUUCCAUUGUAAAUUGACUAGCCUCUCGUUUUCGUAUCUAGUUAAUUUUGAACCAGUGGACAUUGUUUUUGUCAGUUGUUUAUACUUAAUAAUUGUUACUAUGAAUAACGCUUUUGUCUGACAUUUUCGAUCUUCAUUUCUUCAUUAAGACAACUGUGAGAUUCUUAAGGACGCAUAUACUAUUUUUGAUUCUGAUUGAUUUGUACAUAUAUCUCUAUUUACUGUCUGUAAAAUAUUAUUAAUUUGUUACAUGUAUUAUGCUCUUCAAUAUUGGAGGAAUAAAAGAUAUUAUUAUUAUUAUCUUACCGUGUUAACGGAGAUAUGUACUUAUAAUUGGUUUAAUUGUUUAAAAUUAUCUUUCCGUGAUAACUGAGAUAUGUACUUAUAAUUGGUUUUAUUGUUAACAAAUAUUUUAUCGUGAUAACGGAGAUAUGUACUUAUAAUUGGUUUAAUUGUUUACAAGUAUUUUAUCGUGAUAACGGAGAUAUGUACUUAUAAUGGGAAAAGGGAAUAUGCAUAAAUUUAAAGACACGACAAAUAAGAGUAUAAAAUAUGACACAUUUAAUAAAAGUAUUGUUCUUUUUUUGCAUGAUUUCGCCGUUCUUUCACCUAAAGAAUGCAAUAAUGCGAAGGCACAAAAAUAUCACAAAACCAAACUUUGAAGUAGUUUUGUGUUUUCGCAUUUUCGUUGCGAUUAUGUGUCUUGGCGUAAAUCAUCCACCAUAAUUGAUUGACAUAAAUUUGAUAUAAUCAUGUUUCAGCACUUGAUUGUAGGCACAAGUACAGCGUAUAUAUUUGAAAUAGCGUUCGACUGGCUAUUCAGCUCAAAACUCUGAUUAUUUACAAUCUUAAAAGAUAACAAUUUCGAAACUAGGUUAUAAAAUAGAAGAGCGUGGUGUGAUGAUUUACAAUUUAAACGAUACAAUUUCGAAAUGUUCGAGGUCAUAAAAUAGAUGAGCUCUUAGAUACUUCAGUGUAAUAAUAUGCUAGAAGAAAUAUGGACGAUAUAACGGAGCAGGAUAUCUUUAAGGCUUUCAAGAAAACUCAAGGAGAGCUAAGUUUCCCGGGCGGUAAAUUAGAACUUCCAACUGAAGAACGUUUUCCAGAAAUAUUUGAUGUCAUUAAAAAGUGUUUCCUGACCGACGAACCGCUUGAAAAAUCAUUACAGCUUGAGUGGAGUUCGGAGGUGGAAGAGAUUUGGAUGUCUGCACUGAGGUCCAAACUUUCCUUAAUAAUAGUUGAUGAGAACACCAAGAAGAUCAUAGGCAUGCGAGCGAUACGUGUCACCAAAAAAUCAGAUCAUACGGACGUUAGUCUAAUUAAAGAUGAGUCAGUUAAGAAGUUGUUGGAAUUUUUCGAAUACACUUCAGAACAUCCAAAUGUAUUUGAAAAAUAUGGCAUUACAGAACACUUUGAAUUUUUCGGCCUUGCUGUUUUACCAGAGUAUAGACAACGAGGAAUGGGAACAGUUCUGAUGCAAGCCGGAGUAAGUUUCCUAGGUCAUCUUAAAAGACCUUCAUACAUCAAAGGAUCGGCUUCGUCCAACUUCUCUAAGAAAAUAUACGAUAAGUUUGAUUUUGAGGCAAUAGGAGAUUAUGUAUUUGAAGAUUAUAAAGUUGACGGCAAAGUUGUUUUUGAUAACACUGGUGAACAUAAGUCCAUGAAAUUGUAUGUUAUGUUUCUACAAUAGAAAUCAAACGUCAUCAAUUUUACGUCAUGCCAUCAAUGUUACGUCAUAUUUUGAUUUUUUUUUAUUGAAAACAAAAUGUAAAAUAAAAGAGUUUGUGUUUAUUAA
This is an RNA transcript of Ruditapes philippinarum (Manila clam), 4853 nucleotides long. RefSeq lists it as uncharacterized. The transcript has 3 exons. Lineage: Eukaryota; Metazoa; Mollusca; Bivalvia; Venerida; Veneridae. The record is from RefSeq and is a predicted model, not a curated record.